GUUUUCUGCCGCGUGCCUGAAGCCAUGAACCUCUGCGAUACUGUAUUGAAAAGUGUGUUCGAAAGUGAAAACACUACUUCUAUAAGAGAGCGCGAUGUCAGUCGAGGUGAAAAAUAACUUUGUGACUUGUGGUUUGGUUCAUUGGAUGAUAGACUUGGUCCAUAAAAAGAAUGAACAAUUUGCAGUCUUAUCAGGCUCAUGUUUGCCGCUUGCUAGCAUUAAUAUUGCAAACAAUUAUGCUUAGUCAUGGGAGACAGAAAUCAUGAUCAUGGUUAUAAUAGGAUUAAUUGUGCAGCUCUACUAUAAACAAACAGAAGUCUGUAGUAAUACACUGCAAGGACUUGAACCUUGUGCUGAGUUUCAGCAGCGCCAGCCACCAGUGUAAGAAACUGUAGAGCAGCGGUUUGUCGGUUUAAAUCAAAAUCAUAACAUUGACAUUAUUUUCAGUAAAUUCCAUGCUUAAAAUUUAAGAGAAACAAAAUGAGUCUGAUAAUGGUGACCUGACUGUAUGCAUCUUAAACCAGAUCACAGUAAAUUGGCUGUUAUAAAAUGACUGGGACUGAGGUUUGUCCUUGACUGGUUACUGUUGUUCAUGUAGCACAUGUAGAUUCAGCAAUCACUCACACCAAAAACAUUAGCUCUGAUUGGCUAAAGGUCUCUGAGGUAACUUUGGGCCAGGAAGUCAUUGUAUUCAGAAACAGGAAUGACGAGUCAAUAUACAUUUGAUGGGGACUACAACAGCAGAAGACUACACUGGGUUCCACUCCUGUCAGCCAAGAACAGGAAUCUGGGCUACAAUGGGCACAGGCUCACAAAGACAGAACAGUUGAAGAUCAGGGGGGAAAUGUGUUUGCCCCAUUCUACUGUAAGUAAACUCUACACAAUGCAGAGUCAAAACUUCACGAGAUCAGCCAUUUCUGAAAUACAACAACCAUGCCAUGUUCAAGGACCCAGAUCAUUUUUUUUUGUCAUUCUAACGUUUGAUGUAAACAUUAACCAAAACUCAUGCCCUGUACCUGCAUGAUUUUAUGCGUUGUGCUACUGACACAUGAGUGUCUAAUCGGAUAACAGCAUGAAUGAGCAGGUCUACAGGUGGUCCUAUUAAAGUGGUCAGCGAGUAUAAAUGCAGAUGGUACCCUGAUUUCUAAAAGAAUGGGAUACUAGACAUUGUGAUACAUUGUGCAAUACUCUCUUAAGAGAACUGCUGUAAAUAUUCCACAAUCAGGCUGUUAAUUACUCUGUAAACUUAUUUCAAAAACAGCUGAACAUGUCAUGCAGAGAUAAUCAUCACAUACUGCUAUAUUAGGGCUGAAAUGAUCACAGUAACACUCUGAUGCAGCAUGCCCACUGGUGUUGAGUUCUGUGCCCCCAUAACGGCAGAGUUCCUCAUUUGUGUGUUUCAACUGAGAUAUAGACCUAUAUGUAAUGAUGGAAAUUACUGAAUUAAUAAUAAGUACUAGGUCUGCACUAUUAUAGUGGUGUGUUGAGAAGUGAGAUUCACAUGUUAAGGCUCGUCUUGUCUUUCCAUUGUUAAUGUUUAUAAAAAUGAAUUCCUAUCUAUACAGAUAGUGCACAUUUUUACAGUUUCCCUGGUUUUUGUGCAGUUUAUCCUGGCAGAAUAACUCAUGAGUGAGGAAGAAUGUAAUCCAGUGACUGAGGAUAAGGGCUUUGUUAUACAGUUCUUUUCUGGCAGAAUGGGGAUUUGAACUUGUAUCCUACCAGUCACUAACAGAACCUCUACUGAACCACUGCCCAUUUUAGCACUUCCAAAAUUACUGUCUUUACAAUCCAGAAAAAGUGUGACAUAACCUCCUAUAAAUGUGUGAAUCUGACUGGAACGAGCAAAGCAGGUGGUGAAACCAUGUAAGAGGAACUUGUACUUGGAGAAAGUUUUGCUUAUUUGAAUUUGCAUAUCCUGUGCUACCUCAGUCAUCGGAUGCAUCCUCAAAACAUAAUGGACGCGGCACUCCAUGCUUUAUGCAGGGCAGGUGACCAUCCCAUCUGCACUGGUUAGGUCUUCUGUAAAUGCUAAUGUGCUGGAAAAACAAGAACAAACAGCAGCUCUACUUUUCUGGCAAUGCCUAUAAUGUUUGAUUGACUACAAUACAGUACAGUAUGGAAUAGAACCAGCAAAAUUCAGAAACAUCUGCAGCAGAUUUUAAGUUCAUAACACUAUAAAUAUUGGGAGUGUAUAAUCUGAAAUGGUGUAAAUGAAGCUCCGGCUUCACCUGUGCGCAUACAUGUAAAAUAAAGCAGCAUGGAAGGGACUGUGUAUUAUUUCACAUGUUCAUAUGUUGGACUGAAACAUACAGAAUAUGAAACACAGAUGAAAUGAAAGUAUCUGCUCUGACAGACAAAUAAGAACCGGUAAUGAUGUCAGUAACGUUUGCAAUGUACAUGGCCAACUAGUUACAAGUAAUUAUGCAAUUAAUAAAUCAAACAUUUGCAGAGCUGUGGCACCAGAUAGAGCCUUGGCUGAUCAGUUAAUACAGCACAUCAGCACUGAAUGAACUGUAUGAAACUGUCCAAACAAAGGAGCUUAAUCAUUCAGCCGAUUAGCAGAACACUUAAAGUGGCAGUCUAUCAUAAUUAGAGGCCUCUGUAGCUUGUUAGGCAAAUUGCAAUUGCAAUGAAAACAUUAAUAAGGCUUCCAUAAGCACCUAACCAACCCAGGGAGUAGAGCCGAUCUGUUCAGCCUGCGAGUGCAGCUAAUUACCAAGCCGCAAAAAUACUGUCUUAUUUAGAUGUCUGUAAUAAAAUAUUUGCAUGUCUCCUCCGUGCUGUAGCUUGCAUGUUUGUUACCUUGAGAAAAAACUAUUCACAUGAUGAAAUUGGGACAUUUUCGGUUAUAUCUAGUUCUAAAACUACAAACUUUCCUGAACUGAAAAAAAGUGUCUAUUUCGCAUACAUCUCAAUCAGAAGUAAAGGUUUAGCAUUUGAAAGUCUGGUUACCCCAAAAGUAAAAAACUGCAUUUAAUGAUUCUAUUCUGACUGCGACACAAGAGCAUCCCGGACAUUUGGUCAGAUAUGAGUAAUACGUACAAAACUUGUCAAAAGUUUUGAGACAUUUGACUGAAAUAUUUAUCAAGAGCUUAAAAACCUUUUGAUCUGAAGGUGUAUGAUUAAAUGUUUGAAAUCGGUGUUGUAGGCAAAUAAUUGUGCCAACAAAUUCAUUUCUUUCAUUAGAAAACAGAACAUUUUAUUUACUCAGAAUGAAAUAUUCCGAAAAGCAGCCAAUAAAUGUCCAGCAUCGGUGGGAACCCCUUUAUUACAGUUUAAAAAGCAUCUCAGGGAGAUUCCUCAAGAAACUGGUGGAGAAAAUGCCAAGAAUACAUUUCUGGAAAUUCUAGGCAAAAACGGUGUCUACUUGAAAGAUGUUAAAAUACUAAAUUAUUUUGAUUUUUUUAUCAUCAUCAUCAUCAUCAUCACAACAUAAUUCCCAUAGUUGCAUUUGUCUUAUUCCAGAGUUUUGAUAACUUUAUUAUCAUUAUUAUAAAAUGUGGAAAAAAUAAAAAUAAAGAAUGAGUGUGUCUAAACUUUUGACUGGCAGUGCACAUAUCACUAAAUAACCACUUCAAAAAAUGAUGACUAAAUAUAACGCAAGGUGAACUGCACGUCGAUUAGGGUAAAGUGUAGAUACUGACGACAGGGAAAUGCACGUGUCUCGGUGCUCGCAGAUCUGAAGUACUCUCGCUGUAUGCGCGCUUUGCUGCUUCAAUUCAUAGCACCUCAUGAUCAUGUUUAAUGCACACAAUCAGAUUAUUAUAGGAAGAUAAUGUAGUACCUCCUCUUGAUAGAGCAGUUUGCUUCACUGAUUUACUCAACAGUGAAAUGUGUCCAGUUUCCUGUCAUUCCGUGUCAUCUGUUCAUUGGCACUGCAACGUACAGUAAACUUGUGUCAAAUUUUGCAUCACUUUAUCAGAUGUUGGUGUCGGAGCAUUUUUAGCAGUAUCCUUUAAUUGAAGGAUUAAAAUUAAUUAAAGGAUACUCAUGAAAAUGCGUAUCUAUUUGUCUGUCAGAGCAGAUAGACUUUCAUUUCAUGUUUCAUAUUCUGUAUGUUUCAGUCCAUCACAUGAACUCUGUGAAAUAAUACACAAUCCCUUCCAUGCUGCUUUAUUUCACACGUAUGCACACAAAUGAAUCCUGAGCUUCAUUUACAUCUUCUCAGAUUAUACACUCCCAAUAUUUAGUGUUAUGAACUUAAAACCUGCUGCAGAUUUUAUCUGAAUUUUGCUGGUUCUAUUCCAUACUGUCUGAGCAUUUUUAGGGAGUAUCCUUUAAUUUAGCACAGUAUCGGACGGAUACCCAAUAGCAGUAUCACCAUAUAUGCGUCCCUAAAAAUGACAUUGCCCAGCCAUGCAUUUUGCUCAGAAAUUUUCCAAACUUAGAUCGUCAUUAAGAUAGAAAUAAAAACCACUAAAGCUGGAAAGCCAUGCUGCUUCAAG
Long non-coding RNA from Ictalurus punctatus (channel catfish), 4445 nucleotides. Lineage: Eukaryota; Metazoa; Chordata; Actinopteri; Siluriformes; Ictaluridae. The record is from Ensembl.